AACGAGGCCGACCUGCGGCUGAGUUACCUGCGGAGGGAUCAUUACAGAGUUGCAAAACUCCCUAAACCAUUGUGAACGUUACCUAAACCGUUGCUUCGGCGGGCGGCCCGGGUCCUUCCCGGCGCCCCUCGGCCCUCGCGGGCGCCCGCCGGAGGUAAACCAAACUAUUGCAUUGUAUGGCCUCUCUGAGUCUUCUGUACUGAAUAAGUCAAAACUUUUAACAACGGAUCUCAGAUCGGA
Molecule: unclassified non-coding RNA, 240 nt
Filed under: soil metagenome
Description: partial contains 5.8S ribosomal RNA, internal transcribed spacer 2, and large subunit ribosomal RNA
Source: RNAcentral